GACUUGCCUCAUUUGUCUGUCCUAACAGGCUCUCUUUGGAGAAGGAAAUGGGGGAACCAAGACCAGCCAUUCUGAAACUGCCCUUUCAAGAUUCAAAGCUUCAUGCUUCACCACUUUGUAGGAGAUGAAGUGAGAAAUGCAAACAUCCUGAAGACAGCAAAAUCUGUAGGGGUCUUCCAGGAAGAGAGGCAUGAGAAAAAGCUACUGAGUUGAAUCUGGAAGAUGACUCAAGCUUCCUCAAAGCAGAACAGCUCCCCUUGUGCUGCUUUUCUCAAGUUAUACUUAAAAUGACCCAUAAGCAGGGUGAGACUGGAUGAACAUCUCUUUCUUCCACAGCCCUGUGAAUUUUUAAUGCCUGGCAUUAAGGUGAAAAUCAUCAUUUCUCUCUGCCUGCUGGGCGAUGGGCCAUCAAUUAAAUUCUCUUUUGUCCAUAUGUAAAAUAGCUAAUGGUUGCAGCUUCUUUCCAUAAUAGAGCCAUUAGUGGUAAUCUGCUCCUCUCUGCCAACACAUUUACUCAGAUGGGUAUAGAUGAAUUGGCAGUAAUGUCCUGUAUAAACCUGUCUCUGUAGAUGUCCUGAAAACAGCAAAGGUCUCUCAAUUUGAUACUUUGCUGCACUGUAUGGCCGUUGAUAUGUAACAUAAUCAUAUACUGGUGUGGCUGUGGUUGAAUAUUUUGAAUGUGGUUGUGCAUUCCAAGAUUUUAGUUUACACAAAUCUGCUUCAUGAUCUGACAUCAUGUACAUAUGAAAUAUCUUCAAUUUGGUAAUGUGAAUCUGAUUCACAUUGAUUAUAUUCAGUGCUGAUGUUCAAAGCCUUAAAUUAUCUUCAUUGUUUGCUAGCCUACAAAUACAGCAGAUAAUUGUUAGGGAAUUUAAAACCCUUUGAAUAUAUGCCCAUUUGACUGUGGAACAAUUAAUACUUUAUAUUUUAUUUAAAAGUUUUCCUCUCUAAAGAACUCAACCUUUUUUUGGGAGGUGGGGAACAUGGCAGGGGAGACAUUGUGCUCCAUGGUAAUGGUAAAGGAAGAAAGGAAAGCAAAUUAGGGAUAUCUUGUUAACAGUGAUAAAUGUUUCAGUUGUGCACUUACCCACGUCGGUGUGCAAUGGCUGAAUAAUCAGUAAGAUAAACCAUCAUUUUCUUUGUAUUUCCUGUUUGACAAGUUUAAUAAGCUAAGUCACUUAUUUGGUAAAAAAUGGCAAUGAUCCAGGGGAAUGUGUUUUUAUUUUUUUAUUUUCACUGGGGGUCGAAAGCCAAUAAUGUAUAUGCUGCUGCUACGAAAUUUAUCAUCACUUGAGCCUAUGGGAAGACUACAGCAAUAUGGAGAAACUCUGCAAUGGUUAGGAAAGCUGGAGAGAGCAUUUAUAAGUGAAGUUGCCAAAAGAAUUGUAGAAUCAUAUUGCAGAAUCGUAGAAUGGCUUGGUUUGGAAGGGACCGUAAAGAUCAUCUAGUUACAAUUCCUGUGAUGUAGGAAGGGACAUCUUCCACUAGCCCAGGUUGCUCAGAGCCCCAUCCAACAUGGUCUUGAAGCCUUUCAGGGUUGCACUUUUUUUGGUGCAAUGCAGGAUGCAGUUGGAUUUUAGGGAUGCAAAUGCAUGUGGCUGGCUCAUGUCCAGCCUCUCAUCCACCAGUACCAUCCCCAGCCUGCUUUGGUGCCAGGGAUGGCCCUAACCAGGCGCAGCACCUUGCUGGAGGUCUCAUUAAACCUCAUGCUUCCCAUUUCUCCAGCUUGUUCAAGUCCCUCUACAUGGCAUCCUGUCUUUCAGUUUGUGUUGGCCACACACUGAAUUUGGCAUAAUCUGCAAAUUUGCUGAGGGUGCACUUGAUCCCUUAAUCUCUGUCAUUAAUGAGGAUAUUAAAUAAUAAUGGUCUCAAUUUGGCCCUCUGAGGUACAUCACUUGUCACUGAUGUCCAUCGGGAAUCUGAGCCAUGGACCACUAUCCACUGGGUGUGAUCAUCCAACCUGUUUCUUAUCCAUCUAACAGCCCACCAUCAAAUCUCUCUCCCUCCAAUUUAGAGAGAAAGAUGCUGGGGGUGGAUUGUGUCAGAGGCCUUACAAAAGUCCAGAUAAAUAGCAUCUGUAGUCCUUUCCUUGCCCACUGAUGCAGUCACUUUUAAAAAGGACUUUAAAAACAGGAGACACACUUUUCUUGAACCACUGAACUGUUCAAAAAUUAAAAUAUAUGAUCUAUUAAGAAAGCACUUCUGGCCUGAAAGUAAUUCACCUAAAGGCCAGUGUUUACUCCAGGAUAUAAAUGAAGUAUUUGAGGCUGUUCUCCUUUUCAACAAUAUGGGGGAGAAAUGUAAAAAAUGGGCAGAAGUGAUACUGGGGAGAUGUUUCAAAAGCUAUUGUCAGUAGUCCCACCCUACUCUCAUUUAAGUCUAAAGCAGAAUCCCAAGGAGUUAUUACCAAAAUGAAGUUAGACCAAUACUGAAUGCUCUUGAAAUUUCCAUAGUCCUUUAUGUUUGUGUGCAAGAAUUUACCUUAACAUUAUAUAUGCAUACAUAGCAAUUAAUGUGUCUGUGUCCAAUAAAGAGAUAUACACUUUCUUGCUCUCUGCUUGCUUUUCAUCUGGCACUCUCUCUGCAGAUUGUUUCCAAUAUGGGUCAUUUCUGUCCUUCUGCCAGUUUUCCAGUCCAGCGUGAUCCAAAUUAAAUAAUCUUCUAUUCUGCCUUUCCUGAUGAAUGUCAGAUUAAUCUUAGCAGAAUGUGUGACUUUGCCUGACAAGAUGAUUACUGCAAUAUUUAAACAACCCUUAGGGCCUAAAUUCACUAACAAUUUAUGGUUCUCCCUAUACAUGAGUGCUGUUUCUCUCUUCUCAAUGCCCAGGUGCACCCUGCCCUGAGCUGCAUUGUCAACUGGAACUUGGUGACAUGCACUCGCUCUCCUUUGCUGCACAACAGAGUGCUUUAAGUAGAAUCUGAGAAGGGAGGUAAAGUGCUCCCCCUCCCUGCUCCCCAAUUCCCAAGAAGGAAUUCCAUCCCAAAGAAAAAGAGAAAAAUGCCGAUGGUAGUCAGUGGGAACCAGGUACGGGAGAUCCUCUUUCACUUGUGUUCGAGUAGAGCAGCCACGAUCUGUGUUCUGGUGACUGUCCCCACCAGUCACUUGGAUCAAGAGGGGUGCACAGCCUCUGCUCACUUCUGGAGCCGGCUGUGAGUGUGGGCUCAGAAGUUGCUGGCGCCAGCCAAGGAAAAUCCUCGCUGGAAAGCCCAGUCCGCAGUGCAGACACCAGACAAAGCGGCCAGAAUAGAAUCUGAGAAGUUUAAAAGGAAUUUAAGAAUGAAGCCAACAAUUAAUGAGGCUUGGGAAGAAACUUCCCCUAAGGCCCUGUUAUUGAAUAGCUGCUGGCUGUAGGAUUUUUUUGUUCUCUUUUAGAGCAGCUGGUACUGGCCAUUGCUGGAGAUGGAAAAGCUGACAGUGUUAGACAUGCCAAUGGCAGUCCCCAGGCUUAUUCUAAUAGAGUACAGAUUCUUAGAUAAGGAUGUAGCCUGAUGAGGACAUCUUUACAAUGUAUGAGUGAAGGAGGUAUCCCACCUUCCCUCUCAGAUUUUGUGUCCAGCCUGCGUCACAUUUGUGUCCCAGGAUACAGGGUUAUAUUUCACUUGCACAUUGUACUUUUAACUGACUAAUGUCUGUAGCAUAAAGCAACUGGUAGUGUUUAGUGGCUCUCUGCACCAGUAGCUCCUUCUUGAGGGACUGAAAUUGAUGUAAUUUAUCAUGGCAGGUGAACAUGCAAGCUGUGCCUCUUGCCCCAUCACACAAUGUAGCAGAAGAAGCAACCAACGAGUCAGAAAUAGCUCUAUUCCUUUUUUUUUUUUUCUCCAGCUUCCUGAAACAGCAACACUGUGUGUCUGCAUGGUUGGAAUAUCUAGGUACAGUAUCUUCUCUUAAUGGAGCUGUGUACCACCACACACUGUCAGAAGCUGUUGGGGUUUUAUUACUGAGCUAUUCACCAUGCAUCUAUUUUGCCAGAAGGGGUAAUGAAGACUGCAUUUUGUUUUGUGACAUUUUUUCCAAUUGAAAAUAUUUCUUUCUCUGCAUUUAUACUUUGUCUUGAUGUUUUUGUACUGUCAUUUAAUGCUGAAAUACCCUUUUAUCUGUUUUUUAAUAAUAUCCCAAGCAAAUGGAUAGGACUGUCAUUGCCUGGAUCAGUAUGUUUUUUCCCUCUUCACUUGCUGUUCCCUAACCAGUCUGUAUUACCCUGGCUUGAUAGAUUCAUUAAAAAUCAUAGCUUCAGGCCCUUU
Molecule: long non-coding RNA, 4242 nt
Organism: Hirundo rustica (Barn swallow)
Lineage: Eukaryota; Metazoa; Chordata; Aves; Passeriformes; Hirundinidae
Exons: 3
Source: RefSeq, a predicted model, not a curated record